GAUGAACGCUGGCGGCGUGCCUAAUACAUGCAAGUCGAGCGAACGGACGAGAAGCUUGCUUCUCUGAUGUUAGCGGCGGACGGGUGAGUAACACGUGGAUAACCUACCUAUAAGACUGGGAUAACUUCGGGAAACCGGAGCUAAUACCGGAUAAUAUUUUGAACCGCAUGGUUCAAAAGUGAAAGACGGUCUUGCUGUCACUUAUAGAUGGAUCUGCGCUGCAUUAGCUAGUUGGUAAGGUAACGGCUUACCAAGGCAACGAUGCAUAGCCGACCUGAGAGCGUGAUCGGCCACACGGGAACUGAGACACGGUCCAGACUCCUACGGGAGGCAGCAGUAGGGAAUCUGCCGCAGUGGGCGAGAGCCUGACGGAGCAACGCGGCGUGAGUGAUGAAGGUCUUCGGAUCGUAAAACUCUGUUAUUAGUGAAGAACAUAUUUGGAAGUAACUGUGCACAUCUUGACGGUACCUAAUCAGAAAGCCACGGCUAACUACGUG
RNAcentral lists this ribosomal RNA (497 nucleotides) under uncultured bacterium. Its description in RNAcentral is "partial 16S ribosomal RNA". It matches the Rfam family "Bacterial small subunit ribosomal RNA", at positions 28 to 507 of the family's 1533-position model. The record is from RNAcentral.